AUUGAACGCUGGCGGCAGGCCUAACACAUGCAAGUCGAACGGUAACAGGAAGAAGCUUGCUUCUUUGCUGACGAGUGGCGGACGGGUGAGUAAUGUCUGGGAAACUGCCUGAUGGAGGGGGAUAACUACUGGAAACGGUAGCUAAUACCGCAUAACGUCGCAAGACCAAAGAGGGGGACCUUCGGGCCUCUUGCCAUCGGAUGUGCCCAGUUGGGAUUAGCUAGUAGGUGGGGUAACGGCUCACCUAGGCGACGAUCCCUAGCUGGUCUGAGAGGAUGACCAGACACACUGGAACUGGGACACGGUCCAGACUCCUACGGGAGGCAGCAGUGGGGAAUAUUGCACAAUGGGCGCAAGCCUGAUGCAGCCAUGCCGCGUGUAUGAAGAAGGCCUUCGGGUUGUAAAGUACUUUCAGCGGGGAGGAAGGGAGUAAAGUUAAUACCUUUGCUCAUUGACGUUACCCGCAGAAGAAGCACCGGCUAACUCCGUG
This 490-nucleotide ribosomal RNA is filed under the name uncultured bacterium. Its description in RNAcentral is "partial 16S ribosomal RNA". It matches the Rfam family "Bacterial small subunit ribosomal RNA", at positions 30 to 507 of the family's 1533-position model. The record is from RNAcentral.